This 592-nucleotide ribosomal RNA is filed under the name uncultured sordariomyceta. RNAcentral describes it as "eukaryotic LSU rRNA". The stretch from base 233 to 386 matches the Rfam family "5.8S ribosomal RNA". Lineage: Eukaryota; Fungi; Ascomycota. The record is from RNAcentral.
CUUGGUCAUUUAGAGGAAGUAAAAGUCGUAACAAGGUUUCCGUAGGUGAACCUGCGGAAGGAUCAUUAAAGAACGCCCCGUUUUUUGAAAUGGGUAAUUCCCAAACCGUGUCUAUAUAUACCUUUGUUGCUUUGGCAGGUCGCCUUCUAGGCGUCGGCUCCGGCUGACUGCGCCUGCCAGAGGACCCAGACUCGUUUUGUUUAGUGUCGUCUGAGUACUAUAUAAUAGUUAAAACUUUCAACAACGGAUCUCUUGGUUCUGGCAUCGAUGAAGAACGCAGCGAAAUGCGAUAAGUAAUGUGAAUUGCAGAAUUCAGUGAAUCAUCGAAUCUUUGAACGCACAUUGCGCCCCUUGGUAUUCCGAGGGGCAUGCCUGUUCGAGCGUCAUUAUAACCACUCAAGCCUCGGCUUGGUAUUGGGGUUCGCGGUUCCGCGGCCCUUAAAAUCAGUGGCGGUGCCGUCUGGCUCUAAGCGUAGUAAUUCUCUCGCUAUAGGGUCCAGGUGGUUACUUGUCAGAAUCCCCCACUUUUAUAGGUUGACCUCGGAUCAGGUAGGGAUACCCGCUGAACUUAAGCAUAUCAAUAAGCGGAGGA